Molecule: long non-coding RNA, 856 nt
Filed under: Marmota monax (woodchuck)
Lineage: Eukaryota; Metazoa; Chordata; Mammalia; Rodentia; Sciuridae
Source: RNAcentral
AGAUACCCAGCUAAGUGAGAGCUUGUCACAGAAGGCAAUGUCAUUCUAUCCUCUAACAGGGACUCUUAGAAGACUAAAAGUUUUUGCAAACCACACAGAGGCCUCUUCAAUGGUGAAAUUUUCAAUCCCACGAUGCCAAUAUUGGCAACCUGUGUGCCAUCCUCUGAGUCACUUUUGCUGAUAUCAAAAACAGCAGUAAAAGUCCUAGGUGCCAAGAAUGCAGCUAUGCUCCACAAAGACAUUUUGUCCUCCUUUCAGUAUUCCUGCCAGAGCUGGUGAUAACAUAGCCAGCAAUGUCAAUGGUAUUAAAAUCUGCAGUGACAUCCUUUGGAUGUGCUUAAAGAGUUCUAAAAGUCUUGAGAAGGUGAAUAACUCUAAUAAGUUUACCUCUUUAGUUUUUUGAGUCUGUACAUCUUUGCUGCCUGAAAAUCAAUCAGUAGACGCAAUACUUCCUGAGUUAUGAUACAAGUGGUGAAUUCAUAACUGGUGAAUGAAUUUUGGCAUAUGGGAUGCUUAUAAAGAAGUCUGGAAAUGAAAUGAAAAAUGAUUUGACAAUCUUGUGUAAUUGAUUGAUAAUAGCAAGAUAUUUGGGGUUUUCUAGAUUUAUUUUCUAGUGAUGGAAUUAAUGCAUAUUUAUUAGAACAUAGAAAUUACAAAGAAAAGAUAUAUCAAAGAAAACUUUUUGCUCUUUUAAACCCUUUGUUUGGAAGCAUAGAACAACCAUCCAAAUGCCUUCCAUACCUGUAUACUCAACCUAGUUAAUAUUAUAGAACAAAUAAAAAAGAAAACAAUAUGUGUAAAUGAUGGAAUAAUCUUCUAAAUAAAAGGAGAGUUUGGUUCCUUUUUUCUUUAAUGG